RNAcentral lists this ribosomal RNA (450 nucleotides) under uncultured bacterium. Its description in RNAcentral is "partial 16S ribosomal RNA". It matches the Rfam family "Bacterial small subunit ribosomal RNA", at positions 354 to 796 of the family's 1533-position model. The record is from RNAcentral.
GUGGGGAAUAUUGGACAAUGGGCGAAAGCCUGAUCCAGCCAUGCCGCGUGUGUGAAGAAGGUCCUCGGAUUGUAAAGCACUUUAAGUUGGGAGGAAGGGCAGUAAGUUAAUACCCUGCUGUUUUGACGUUACCGACAGAAUAAGCACCGGCUAACUUCGUGCCAGCAGCCGCGGUAAUACGAAGGGUGCAAGCGUUAAUCGGAAUUACUGGGCGUAAAGCGCGCGUAGGUGGUUUUGUAAGUUGGAGGUGAAAUCCCCGGGCUCAACCUGGGAACUGCCUCCAAAACUGCAUGACUAGAGUACGGUAGAGGGUAGUGGAAUUUCCUGUGUAGCGGUGAAAUGCGUAGAUAUAGGAAGGAACACCAGUGGCGAAGGCGACUACCUGGACUGAUACUGACACUGAGGUGCGAAAGCGUGGGGAGCAAACAGGAUUAGAAACCCCGGUAGUCC